GGUGGCUCAGUGGUAGAGUGCUUGUCUUGCAUGCAUGAGGCUCUGGGUUCGAUUCCUUAGCACCA
Molecule: transfer RNA, 65 nt
Filed under: Dipodomys ordii (Ord's kangaroo rat)
Lineage: Eukaryota; Metazoa; Chordata; Mammalia; Rodentia; Heteromyidae
Rfam family: tRNA
About the family: Transfer RNA (tRNA) molecules are approximately 80 nucleotides in length. Their secondary structure includes four short double-helical elements and three loops (D, anti-codon, and T loops).
Source: Rfam by way of RNAcentral